GAGGGUAUAGCUCAGUGGUAGAGCGAGCACUUAGCAUGCAGGAGGUCCUGGGUUCAAUCCCCAGUAUCUCUA
Molecule: transfer RNA, 72 nt
Filed under: Camelus bactrianus (Bactrian camel)
Lineage: Eukaryota; Metazoa; Chordata; Mammalia; Artiodactyla; Camelidae
Also listed under: 2 other names
Rfam family: tRNA
About the family: Transfer RNA (tRNA) molecules are approximately 80 nucleotides in length. Their secondary structure includes four short double-helical elements and three loops (D, anti-codon, and T loops).
Source: Rfam by way of RNAcentral